Molecule: ribosomal RNA, 420 nt
Filed under: bacterium
Lineage: Bacteria
Description: partial 16S ribosomal RNA
Rfam family: Bacterial small subunit ribosomal RNA
Source: RNAcentral
UGGGGGAUAUUGCACAAUGGGCGAAAGCCUGAUGCAGCGACGCCGCGUGGGGGAUGAAGGCUUUCGGGUUGUAAACCUCUUUCGCUAUCGAACAAGGCCCGCUUAGGGUGGGUUGAGGGUAGGUGGAGAAGAAGCGCCGGCUAACUACGUGCCAGCAGCCGCGGUAAUACGUAGGGCGCGAGCGUUGUCCGGAAUUAUUGGUCGUAAAGGGCUUGUAGGCGGCUUGUUGCGCCUGCUGUGAAAACGCGGGGCUUAACUUCGCGCGUGAAGUGGGUACGGGCAGGCUUGAGUGUGGUAGGGGGGACUGGAAUUCCAGGUGUAGCGGUGGAAUGCGCAGAUAUCUGGAGGAACACCGAUGGCGAAGGCAGGUCACUGGGCCAUUACUGACGCUGAGGAGCGAAAGCAUGGGUAGCGAACAGG